Molecule: ribosomal RNA, 787 nt
Filed under: uncultured Bacteroidota bacterium
Lineage: Bacteria; Pseudomonadati; Bacteroidota
Description: bacterial SSU rRNA
Rfam family: Bacterial small subunit ribosomal RNA
Source: RNAcentral
AGUGAUUAGAGUUUGAUCCUGGCUCAGGACGAACGCUGGCGGCGGGCCUAACACAUGCAAGUCGCACGAGAAAGCGCCCUCGGGCGCGAGUAAAGUGGCGGACGGGUGAGUAACGCGUAUGGAACCUGCCCUUGAGCGGAGGACAACUACUGGAAACGGUAGCUAAUACUGCAUAAUGUCCACGAGUCGCAUGACUUGUGGAUCAAAGCCUUCGGGCGCUCAGGGAUGGUCAUGCGUCGGAUUAGCUCGUUGGUGAGGUAACGGCUUACCAAGGCAAUAAUCCGUAGCUGGUCUGAGAGGAUGAUCAGCCACACUGGCACUGAGACACGGGCCAGACUCCUACGGGAGGCAGCAGUGGGGAAUCUUGCGCAAUGGGGGAAACCCUGACGCAGCCACACCGCGUGGAGGAAGACACCCCUAUGGGGCGUAAACUCCUUUUCUGCCGGAAGAAAACCCUGUUUUGCAGGGCAUGACGGUACGGCAGGAAUAAGCACCGGCUAACUCCGUGCCAGCAGCCGCGGUAAUACGGAGGGUGCAAGCGUUGUCCGGAAUCACUGGGCGUAAAGGGUGUGCAGGCGGGGCAGCAAGUCAGCGGUGAAAUCCUGCGGCUUAACCGUAGAAGUGCCGUUGAAACUGUUGCUCUUGAGUCCUAGAGAGGUCGCUGGAAUUCGUGGUGUAGCGGUGAAAUGCGUAGAUAUCACGAGGAACACCAGAGGCGUAACGAGGCGACUAGAUAGGUACUGACGCUGAGGCACGAAAGCGUGGGGAGCGAACAGGAUUAGAUACC